CUUGACACUGAACAUUGAGCCUUGAUGUGUAGGAUAGGUGGGAGGCUUUGAAGCGUGGACGCCAGUCUGCGUGGAGCCAACCUUGAAAUACCACCCUUUAAUGUUUGAUGUUCUAACGUUGGCCCCUGACCGGGGUUGCGGACAGUGUCUGGUGGGUAGUUUGACUGGGGCGGUCUCCUCCCAAAGAGUAACGGAGGAGCACGAAGGUUAGCUAAUCCUGGUCGGACAUCAGGAGGUUAGUGCAAUGGCAUAAGCUA
Molecule: ribosomal RNA, 257 nt
Filed under: Klebsiella aerogenes
Lineage: Bacteria; Pseudomonadati; Pseudomonadota; Gammaproteobacteria; Enterobacterales; Enterobacteriaceae
Description: partial 23S ribosomal RNA
Rfam family: Bacterial large subunit ribosomal RNA
Source: RNAcentral